GCCCCUGUAGUACAAAUAAGUACACCAGCCUUGUAACCUGAAAAUGAAGACCCUCUUCCAUGGGCAAAAAA
This 71-nucleotide transfer RNA is filed under the name Pongo abelii (Sumatran orangutan). Its description in RNAcentral is "tRNA-Thr". It matches the Rfam family "tRNA". Rfam says of the family: Transfer RNA (tRNA) molecules are approximately 80 nucleotides in length. The record is from RNAcentral. Lineage: Eukaryota; Metazoa; Chordata; Mammalia; Primates; Hominidae.